This 301-nucleotide ribosomal RNA is filed under the name uncultured bacterium. RNAcentral describes it as "partial 16S ribosomal RNA". It matches the Rfam family "Bacterial small subunit ribosomal RNA", at positions 509 to 807 of the family's 1533-position model. The record is from RNAcentral.
CAGCCGCCGCGGUAAUACGUAGGGUGCAAGCGUUAAUCGGAAUUACUGGGCGUAAAGCGUGCGCAGGCGGUUUGUUAAGACAGAUGUGAAACCCCCGGGCUCAACCUGGGAACUGCAUUUGUGACUGGCAAGCUAGAGUCUGGCAGAGGGGGGUGGAAUUCCGCGUGUAGCAGUGAAAUGCGUAGAUAUGCGGAGGAACACCGAUGGCGAAGGCAGCCCCCUGGGCCAACACUGACGCUCAUGCACGAAAGCGUGGGGAGCAAACAGGAUUAGAUACCCCCGUAGUCCCUGUCUCUUAUAC